GACGAACGCUGGCGGCGUGCUUAACACAUGCAAGUCGAACGGAAAGGCCCCUUUGGGGCUACUCGAGUGGCGAACGGGUGAGUAACACUUAAGUAACCUGCCCUUGACUUCGGGAUAACUUCAGGAAACUGGGGCUAAUACCGGAUAGGAAUCCUUUCUGCAUGGGGGGGGUUGGAAAGCUUCGGCGGUUUUGGAUGGACUCGCGGCUUAUCAGCUUGUUGGUGGGGUAGUGGCUUACCAAGGCUUUGACGGGUAGCCGGCCUGCGAGGGCGACCGGCCACAUUGGGACUGAGAUGCGGCCGCGGCUCCUACGGGAGGGAGAAGUGGGGAAUAUUGACCAAUGGGCGGAAGCCUGAUGCAGAAACGCCGCGGGCGGGAUGACGGUCUUCGGGUUGUAAACCGAUUUCAGCAGGGGCGAAGCUUGUGGUGACGGUACCUGAAGAAGAAGCACCGGCUAACUACGUG
Molecule: ribosomal RNA, 465 nt
Filed under: uncultured bacterium
Lineage: Bacteria
Description: partial 16S ribosomal RNA
Rfam family: Bacterial small subunit ribosomal RNA
Source: RNAcentral